This 69-nucleotide transfer RNA is filed under the name Rattus norvegicus (Norway rat). It matches the Rfam family "tRNA". Rfam says of the family: Transfer RNA (tRNA) molecules are approximately 80 nucleotides in length. Lineage: Eukaryota; Metazoa; Chordata; Mammalia; Rodentia; Muridae. The record is from Rfam by way of RNAcentral.
GGGGCUUUGGCUCAGUGGUAGAGUGCUUGCCUAGGAAGCGCAAGGUCCUGGGUUCGGUCCCCAGCCCCG